AAAGGACGGGGCCGAUGUCUGAUUAGCUAGUUGGUGGGGUAAAGGCUUACCAAGGCAACGAUCAGUAGUUGGUCUGAGAGGACGGCCAACCACACUGGGACUGAGACACGGCCCAGACUCCUACGGGAGGCAGCAGUGGGGAAUUUUGGACAAUGGGCGAAAGCCUGAUCCAGCCAUGCCGCGUGAGUGAAGAAGGCCUUCGGGUUGUAAAGCUCUUUUAGUCGGAAAGAAAGGAUUGCAACGAAUAAUUGUGAUUUAUGACGGUACCGACAGAAAAAGCACCGGCUAACUACGUGCCAGCAGCCGCGGUAAUACGUAGGGUGCGAGCGUUAAUCGGAAUUACUGGGCGUAAAGGGUGCGCAGGCGGUUUGCAAGU
RNAcentral lists this ribosomal RNA (376 nucleotides) under uncultured Nitrosomonadales bacterium. RNAcentral's name for it is "bacterial SSU rRNA". It matches the Rfam family "Bacterial small subunit ribosomal RNA", at positions 219 to 588 of the family's 1533-position model. Lineage: Bacteria; Pseudomonadati; Pseudomonadota; Betaproteobacteria; Nitrosomonadales. The record is from RNAcentral.